GAUGAACGCUGGCGGCGUGCCUAAUACAUGCAAGUCGAGCGAACGGACGAGAAGCUUGCUUCUCUGAUGUUAGCGGCGGACGGGUGAGUAACACGUGGAUAACCUACCUAUAAGACUGGGAUAACUUCGGGAAACCGUAGUUAAUACCGGAUAAUAUUUUGAACCGCAUGGUUCAAAAGUGAAAGACGGUCUUGCUGUCACUUAUAGAUGGAUCCGCGCUGCAUUAUCUAGUUGGUAAGGUAACGGCUUACCAAGGCAACGAUGCAUAGCCGACCUGAGAGGGUGAUCGGCCACACUGGAACUGAGACACGGUCCAGACUCCUACGGGAGGCAGCAGUAGGGAAUCUUCCGCAAUGGGCGAAAGCCUGACGGAGCAACGCCGCGUGAGUGAUGAAGGUCUUCGGAUCGUAAAACUCUGUUAUUAGGGAAGAACAUAUGUGUAAGUAACUGUGCACAUCUUGACGGUACCUAAUCAGAAAGCCACGGCUAACUACGUG
This 497-nucleotide ribosomal RNA is filed under the name uncultured bacterium. RNAcentral's name for it is "partial 16S ribosomal RNA". It matches the Rfam family "Bacterial small subunit ribosomal RNA", at positions 28 to 507 of the family's 1533-position model. The record is from RNAcentral.